This 606-nucleotide long non-coding RNA is filed under the name Citrus sinensis (sweet orange). RNAcentral's name for it is "long non-coding RNA (CSIN_LNC000488)". The record is from RNAcentral. Lineage: Eukaryota; Viridiplantae; Streptophyta; Magnoliopsida; Sapindales; Rutaceae.
ACAGAAAUUAAAUGAAAAAUUGAAAACUUAAACAGCUAAACCUAAUUCCCAAAUCACAAAACCACCCACGCAACCCAGCCACGCGACCUGACGCACCACGCAACCCAGCCACGCGACCUGACGCACCACGCAACCCAGCCAAACCAACCCACGACCACAAACCACACACACAUGCCACAACCUGACGCACACGACGACUCACGCCAUCGACAACAUAAACGGAACGAACCCAGCCGGAUCUUGAUCAACGUCCAGUUGCCAUUCACGACGAGCAGCUGACGGCGAAAGCAACCUCGCGAUAGCCGACUUGUUCAUUGUGUAAGGUUCCUGUCUUUAUUGCAUGAUUGUCUAAGGAAUUAAAUGUGCAGUCUGUGAUGAGCAAAUCAAGAAGACGAAGUGAAAGGCUGCUGCAGAGAGAUGAGCUCUCGACUUACCUAUAUUUGGAUGUGUAAUUAUCAUAUAACACCCUGAGCUUUUGAUAAUGAAGCUAAUGAAAGAAUUGUGUAAGGACUUGUGUUUCAUUAAUUCUAGAUUUCAUUAAUUUUUGGUAAAAAUUGUCAAAAAGGUUCCAAAUCCGAAUACAAUCCGAACCGAUCUGAAUCCGAA